GAUGAACGCUGGCGGCGUGCCUAAUACAUGCAAGUCGAGCGAACAGAUAAGGAGCUUGCUCCUUUGAAGUUAGCGGCGGACGGGUGAGUAACACGUGGGUAACCUACCUAUAAGACUGGGAUAACUUCGGGAAACCGGAGCUAAUACCGGAUAACAUUUAGAACCGCAUGGUUCUAAAGUGAAAGAUGGUUUUGCUAUCACUUAUAGAUGGACCCGCGCCGUAUUAGCUAGUUGGUAAGGUAACGGCUUACCAAGGCGACGAUACGUAGCCGACCUGAGAGGGUGAUCGGCCACACUGGAACUGAGACACGGUCCAGACUCCUACGGGAGGCAGCAGUAGGGAAUCUUCCGCAAUGGGCGAAAGCCUGACGGAGCAACGCCGCGUGAGUGAUGAAGGGUUUCGGCUCGUAAAACUCUGUUAUUAGGGAAGAACAAAUGUGUAAGUAACUGUGCACAUCUUGACGGUACCUAAUCAGAAAGCCACGGCUAACUACGUGCCAGCAGCCGCGGUAAUACGUAGGUGGCAAGCGUUAUCCGGAAUUAUUGGGCGUAAAGCGCGCGUAGGCGGUUUCUUAAGUCUGAUGUGAAAGCCCACGGCUCAACCGUGGAGGGUCAUUGGAAACUGGGAAACUUGAGUGCAGAAGAGGAAAGUGGAAUUCCAUGUGUAGCGGUGAAAUGCGCAGAGAUAUGGAGGAACACCCGUGGGCGAGGGCGACUUUCUGGUCUGUAACUGACGCUGAUGUGCGAAAGCGUGGGGAUCAAAACAGGAUUAGAUACCCUGGUAGUCCACGCCGUAAACGAUGAGUGCUAAGUGUUAGGGGGUUUCCGCCCCUUAGUGCUGCAGCUAACGCAUUAAGCACUCCGCCUGGGGAGUACGACCGCAAGGUUGAAACUCAAAGGAAUUGACGGGGACCCGCACAAGCGGUGGAGCAUGUGGUUUAAUUCGAAGCAACGCGAAGAACCUUACCAAAUCUUGACAUCCUUUGAAAACUCUAGAGAUAGAGCCUUCCCCUUCGGGGGACAAAGUGACAGGUGGUGCAUGGUUGUCGUCAGCUCGUGUCGUGAGAUGUUGGGUUAAGUCCCGCAACGAGCGCAACCCUUAAGCUUAGUUGCCAUCAUUAAGUUGGGCACUCUAGGUUGACUGCCGGUGACAAACCGGAGGAAGGUGGGGAUGACGUCAAAUCAUCAUGCCCCUUAUGAUUUGGGCUACACACGUGCUACAAUGGACAAUACAAAGGGCAGCUAAACCGCGAGGUCAUGCAAAUCCCAUAAAGUUGUUCUCAGUUCGGAUUGUAGUCUGCAACUCGACUACAUGAAGCUGGAAUCGCUAGUAAUCGUAGAUCAGCAUGCUACGGUGAAUACGUUCCCGGGUCU
This 1374-nucleotide ribosomal RNA is filed under the name uncultured bacterium. Its description in RNAcentral is "bacterial SSU rRNA". It matches the Rfam family "Bacterial small subunit ribosomal RNA", at positions 28 to 1381 of the family's 1533-position model. The record is from RNAcentral.